CGUCCUAGGGGGGCAGCAGUGGGGGAUAUUGCACAAUGGGCGAAAGCCUGAUGCAGCGACGCCGCGUGAGGGAAGACGGUCUUCGGAUUGUAAACCUCUGUCUUUGGGGAAGAAUAGAGACGGUACCCAAAGAGGAAGCUCCGGCUAACUACGUGCCAGCAGCCGCGGUAAUACGUAGGGAGCGAGCGUUGUCCGGAAUUACCGGGUGUAAAGGGAGCGUCGGCGGGCUUGUAAGUUGAAUGUCUAAUCCACCGGCUCAACCGGUGAUCGCGUUCAAAACUGCAGGUCUUGAGUGAAGUAGAGGC
RNAcentral lists this ribosomal RNA (305 nucleotides) under uncultured bacterium. RNAcentral describes it as "bacterial SSU rRNA". It matches the Rfam family "Bacterial small subunit ribosomal RNA", at positions 335 to 658 of the family's 1533-position model. The record is from RNAcentral.